Molecule: ribosomal RNA, 169 nt
Filed under: Lutjanus quinquelineatus (five-lined snapper)
Lineage: Eukaryota; Metazoa; Chordata; Actinopteri; Lutjaniformes; Lutjanidae
Also listed under: 1 other name
Description: partial 12S ribosomal RNA
Source: RNAcentral
CACCGCGGUUAUACGAGAGACCCGAGUUGUUAGACACCGGCGUAAAGAGUGGUUAAGAUUGACUCAAAACUAAAGCCGAACGCCCUCAGAGCUGUUAUACGCACCCGAGGGUAAGAAGCCCAACCACGAAAGUGGCUUUAUCUUAUCCGAACCCACGAAAGCUAUGAUA